AUGGUCAAAGAGAUCGCCCUUGAGCUGUUCCGUGAGUUCGCUAGGGGAACACUGGACGUAUCCCGUCUUAAUUACGGGAUUAUCUCCUUAAUUCCCAAGGUCCCAGGUGCGGCGGACAUUAGGCAAUUCCGCCCUAUCACAGUCCUCAAUGUGAUAUUUAGAAUUCUGGCCAAAGGGUACGCCUCUAGGGCGGCCCUUAUCGCACCUCGGAUUCAUCACCCCAACCAAUCGGCCUUCACGAAAGGCCGAUUUAUUCUCGAUGGGGUCCUUGUCCUCCAUGAGGUGAUUCAUGAGGUCAAGACGAAACACCUCCCCGCGGUGUUCUUCAAAAUCGACUUCCAUAAAGCUUAUGACACAGUCCACUGGUCGUUCCUUCGGGAAGUGUUG
RNAcentral lists this ribosomal RNA (387 nucleotides) under Triticum aestivum (bread wheat). RNAcentral's name for it is "partial small subunit ribosomal RNA". Lineage: Eukaryota; Viridiplantae; Streptophyta; Magnoliopsida; Poales; Poaceae. The record is from RNAcentral.